Molecule: ribosomal RNA, 484 nt
Filed under: uncultured bacterium
Lineage: Bacteria
Description: partial 16S ribosomal RNA
Rfam family: Bacterial small subunit ribosomal RNA
Source: RNAcentral
AUUGAACGCUGGCGGCAGGCCUAACACAUGCAAGUCGAGCGGAUGGAGGGAGCUUGCUCCUGGAUUCAGCGGCGGACGGGUGAGUAAUGCCUAGGAAUCUGCCUGGUAGUGGGGGAUAACGUCCGGAAACGGGCGCUAAUACCGCAUACGUCCUGAGGGAGAAAGUGGGGGAUCUUCGGACCUCACGCUAUCAGAUGAGCCUAGGUCGGAUUAGCUAGUUGGUGGGGUAAAGGCCUACCAAGGCGACGAUCCGUAACUGGUCUGAGAGGAUGAUCAGUCACACUGGAACUGAGACACGGUCCAGACUCCUACGGGAGGCAGCAGUGGGGAAUAUUGGACAAUGGGCGAAAGCCUGAUCCAGCCAUGCCGCGUGUGUGAAGAAGGUCUUCGGAUUGUAAAGCACUUUAAGUUGGGAGGAAGGGCAGUAAGUUAAUACCUUGCUGUUCUGACGUUACCAACAGAAUAAGCACCGGCUAACUUCGUG